Molecule: ribosomal RNA, 781 nt
Filed under: uncultured bacterium
Lineage: Bacteria
Description: bacterial SSU rRNA
Rfam family: Bacterial small subunit ribosomal RNA
Source: RNAcentral
AGAGUUUGAUCAUGGCUCAGGAUGAACGCUGGCGGCGUGCUUAACACAUGCAAGUCGAACGCUGAAGCUUGAUGCUUGCACUGGGUGGAUGAGUGGCGAACGGGUGAGUAAUACGUGAGUAACCUGCCCUUGACUCUGGGAUAAGCCUGGGAAACUGGGUCUAAUACUGGAUACGACAUGUCACUGCAUGGUGGUGUGUGGAAAGGGUUUUACUGGUUUUGGAUGGGCUCACGGCCUAUCAGCUUGUUGGUGGGGUAAUGGCCUACCAAGGCGACGACGGGUAGCCGGCCUGAGAGGGUGACCGGCCACACUGGGACUGAGACACGGCCCAGACUCCUACGGGAGGCAGCAGUGGGGAAUAUUGCACAAUGGGCGGAAGCCUGAUGCAGCGACGCCGCGUGAGGGAUGACGGCCUUCGGGUUGUAAACCUCUUUCGGCACGGAAGAAGCGAGAGUGACGGUACGUGCAGAAGAAGCGCCGGCUAACUACGUGCCAGCAGCCGCGGUAAUACGUAGGGCGCAAGCGUUGUCCGGAAUUAUUGGGCGUAAAGAGCUCGUAGGCGGUUUGUCGCGUCUGCUGUGAAAGCCCGGGGCUUAACCCCGGGUGUGCAGUGGGUACGGGCAGACUUGAGUGCAGUAGGGGAGACUGGAAUUCCUGGUGUAGCGGUGAAAUGCGCAGAUAUCAGGAAGAACACCGAUGGCGAAGGCAGGUCUCUGGGCUGUUACUGACGCUGAGGAGCGAAAGCAUGGGGAGCGAACAGGAUUAGAUACCCUGGUAGUCC